Molecule: long non-coding RNA, 494 nt
Organism: Peromyscus maniculatus bairdii (prairie deer mouse)
Lineage: Eukaryota; Metazoa; Chordata; Mammalia; Rodentia; Cricetidae
Source: RefSeq, a predicted model, not a curated record
AGGUUGGCUAAUGGAAGUCCCUAAAGAAACUGUGGCGAAUGUUAACUCUGUCUAGUCCAGGUCAGCUGGAUUAUAGUAGGUGGCUUCACAAAAUAAUUCCCAAACACGUCUGUGGCGAUGGAGCUGCGGCUUCUCAUUGGUUUUGGGGUGCCAAGUCUCUACAGCCAUAAGAGAAGGAAGGGGAGAGUUCCUGAGCUCAUUUGGCCAGAUGCAUCAGAGAACAGAGAAAGUCGGCUUCUGAGGUGGAGCAUCUUGGUCCGAAGUUGGUGACUAAGGGUGGGCUCCUGAAGGUUAUACCUGGCCCUGGUUCUGCUUGGACUCUCUGCUUCUUUUAUGUGUCAAGUGGGAAUACAUUAUGCACUGGAGGUUGAACUUACGAUCCUCCGGUCUCAACUUCUUGAGAGAUGGGAACCAGAUGCAUGCCUGCCUUCUUGAGUACUUCUCACCAUCUCAUUGAAAAUUCUCUUUUGUUGAAUAAAAUACUUAGAAAUAUC